Molecule: ribosomal RNA, 320 nt
Filed under: uncultured soil bacterium
Lineage: Bacteria
Description: bacterial SSU rRNA
Rfam family: Bacterial small subunit ribosomal RNA
Source: RNAcentral
AGAAUCAACGCUGGCGGCGUGCCUAACACAUGCAAGUCGAGCGCGAAAGGGGAGCAAUCCCUGAGUAGAGUGGCAAACGGGUGAGUAACACGUGGGUGACCUGCCUUCGAGUGGGGGAUAACGUUCCGAAAGGAACGCUAAUACCGCAUGACAUCCUGCUUUUAGGAAAGCGGAGAUCAAAGCUGGGGAUUCGCAAGAACCUAGCGCUUGAAGACGGGGCCCGCGCCUGAUUAGCUAGUUGGUGAGGUAACGGCUCACCGAAGGCUACGAUCAGUACUCCGGCCUGAGGCGGGCGUACGGACACGGACGUCGGACUAGAC